Molecule: ribosomal RNA, 535 nt
Filed under: uncultured bacterium
Lineage: Bacteria
Description: bacterial SSU rRNA
Rfam family: Bacterial small subunit ribosomal RNA
Source: RNAcentral
UGGGGAAUCUUGCGCAAUGGGCGAAAGCCUGACGCAGCGACGCCGCGUGGGGGAUGAAGCUUUUCGGAGUGUAAACCCCUUUCGACCCGGAAGAAAGCCCGCAAGGGUCUGACGGUACGGGUAUAAGAAGCCCCGGCUAACUUCGUGCCAGCAGCCGCGGUAAUACGAGGGGGGCGAGCGUUGUUCGGAAUUAUUGGGCGUAAAGGGUGCGUAGGCGGUUUGGUAAGUCUUGUGUGAAAUCUCCAGGCUCAACUUGGAGUCUGCACGAGAAACUGCCGGGCUUGAGUGUGGGAGAGGUGAGUGGAAUUGCAGGUGUAGCGGUGAAAUGCGUAGAUAUCUGCAGGAACAUCCGAGGCAAAAGCGGCUCGCUGGAUCGCAACUGACGCUGAGAGACGAAAGCUAGGGGAGCAAACAGGAUUAGAUACCCUGGUAGUCCUAGCCCUAAACGAUCAGGACUGGGCGUGGGCCCUGUACGGGGCUCGUGCCGGAGCUAACGCGUUAAGUCCUGCGCCUGGGGGGUACGGUCGCAAGACUG